GAUGAACGCUAGCUACAGGCUUAACACAUGCAAGUCGUGGGGCAGCGGAUACUUAGCUUGCUAAGUAUGCCGGCGACCGGCGCACGGGUGAGUAACGCGUACCGAACCUGCCCAUCACACAGGGAUAGGCUUGCGAAAGCAAGAUUAAUACCUGAUGGUCUCAGUUGUAUGCAUGUAUAAUUGAGUAAAGCCUUCGGCGGUGAUGGAUGGCGGUGCGUCCCAUUAGGAAGUUGGCGGGGUAACGGCCCACCAAUCCUUCGAUGGGUAGGGGUUUGAGAGGAAGGUCCCCCACAUUGGAACUGAGAUACGGUCCAAACUCCUACGGGAGGCAGCAGUGAGGAAUAUUGGUCAAUGGGCGGGAGCCUGAACCAGCCAAGUAGCGUGCGGGAUGAAGGCCCUUGUGGUCGUAAACCGCUUUUAUCAGUGAAUAAAGUGCACCACUGUGGUGUCAUUGCAGGUAGCUGAAGAAAAAGGACCGGCUAAUUCCGUGCCAGCAGCCGCGGUAAUACGGAAGGUCCGGGCGUUAUCCGGAAUUAUUGGGUUUAAAGGGAGCGCAGGCGGGAGUAUAAGUCAGCUGUUAAAUAUCAGAGCCCAACUCUGUUAUGCAGUUGAAACUAUAUUUCUUGAGUACGCACAGGGAUGGCGGAAUUCAGGGUGUAGCGGUGAAAUGCUUAGAUAUCCUGAAGAACUCCGAUCGCGAAGGCAGCCAUCCGGAGCGUAACUGACGCUGAGGCUCGAAGGUGCGGGUAUCGAACAGGAUUAGAUACCCUGGUAGUCCGCACGGUAAACGAUGAAUACUCGCAGUUCGGUCAUUAUGAUUGAGUUGUCCAGCGAAAGCGUUAAGUAUUCCACCCUGGGGAGUACGCCGGCAACGGUGAAACUCAAAGGAAUUGACGGGGGCCCGCACAAGCGGAGGAACAUGUGGUUUAAUUCGAUGAUACCCGAGGAACCUUUACCCGGGCCUUGAACCA
RNAcentral lists this ribosomal RNA (971 nucleotides) under Alloprevotella tannerae. RNAcentral's name for it is "bacterial SSU rRNA". It matches the Rfam family "Bacterial small subunit ribosomal RNA", at positions 28 to 988 of the family's 1533-position model. Lineage: Bacteria; Pseudomonadati; Bacteroidota; Bacteroidia; Bacteroidales; Prevotellaceae. The record is from RNAcentral.